UAGGGAAUCUUCGGCAAUGGACGAAAGUCUGACCGAGCAACGCCGCGUGAGUGAAGAAGGUUUUCGGAUCGUAAAACUCUGUUGUUAGAGAAGAACAAGGACGUUAGUAACUGAACGUCCCCUGACGGUAUCUAACCAGAAAGCCACGGCUAACUACGUGCCAGCAGCCGCGGUAAUACGUAGGUGGCAAGCGUUGUCCGGAUUUAUUGGGCGUAAAGCGAGCGCAGGCGGUUUCUUAAGUCUGAUGUGAAAGCCCCCGGCUCAACCGGGGAGGGUCAUUGGAAACUGGGAGACUUGAGUGCAGAAGAGGAGAGUGGAAUUCCAUGUGUAGCGGUGAAAUGCGUAGAUAUAUGGAGGAACACCAGUGGCGAAGGCGGCUCUCUGGUCUGUAACUCACGCUGAGGCUCGAAAGCGUGGGGAGCAAACAGG
This 429-nucleotide ribosomal RNA is filed under the name Gemmatimonadota bacterium. Its description in RNAcentral is "Gemmatimonadetes bacterium partial 16S ribosomal RNA". It matches the Rfam family "Bacterial small subunit ribosomal RNA", at positions 355 to 776 of the family's 1533-position model. Lineage: Bacteria; Pseudomonadati; Gemmatimonadota. The record is from RNAcentral.